Molecule: long non-coding RNA, 5059 nt
Organism: Schistocerca piceifrons (Central American locust)
Lineage: Eukaryota; Metazoa; Arthropoda; Insecta; Orthoptera; Acrididae
Exons: 3
Source: RefSeq, a predicted model, not a curated record
AUUUCAGCGGGCGUUCUUUGCAUUCAGAAAUCUUAUAACAAUACAAUUCAGUCGUCAGGCUCACAGAUUGUCAAACAUUUUGAAUGAUUGCUAACAAAUGUUAAGCACGACACACUAGCUGUAAUGGCACCAGUGGAAAGUCAGUGAACCAGAGAAACGAGUGUGAAUGUGCAGAACUGCAAUGCUAGUCUUGUGGUAGCAGUAGAAUCAAAUGGUAUUUACUUUCCAGACAUGCGUCUUACAAUAAACCUGAAGUACAUAUUCCAUAGUAACAACUUAUUUUUUAACUUACAGAUUCUGUAGUUCACAAGAUUUUGGAUGGAACCUGGACUAAAAAUAGUGGAUACACGAGACUGCUACACCAAGUACAGCAAAUGAAUUUUCCGCACUGGCAGCCCUACAUCAAAUGAAUAAACCUAUAUAUACUAAUUACUGGAUUCAAAAAAUUAUAUUUUUACAUGACCAGGUUCCUCAUAUCCAUAGCACACAUUCACAACUGACACAAAUUACCUGCUCACCAUGAGGUUGUCAGCAUUAGGACUCGGGCAACACGCCAGAUACUCUCCACUGAUUUUCUCAAAAACUACAUUACUGAGGCAAAACCCAAAGCAGGUGUGUUAUCUUUUCUCUCAAUGACUAACAUUAGUGCACAAUUUCAGAAGAUUCUGUGACUAUGUGGUGGUCUCUCCAAGUGAGAUUUCUGAGGACAUUCUGUACAGAAGGCUUCAGCAGGAGAUACCUGCUGGCCAUUACAGAGGGGGAAAAAGGAGAAGCUGGGACAAUGUUCCUGAGAGAGAACUUAACUAAUGAACAUGGGUUGAAACACAUUCAGGAACUCAUGCUCAGCUCAAAGGUGAUGCAGGAUUUUAUGUCCUCCAUUUCUUGGCACACAGGUGGCUGCAUACAGGAGUGAAACGAUGACAGGAUCAAGCUGAGAUUUUUCACGUCUCUCUGGUUGGAGAUAGUACAGAAUGACUGCUGUUGCACUAAGGACAUCAGUAUAGUGGUGGUACAGAAAUGAGACUGAGCUGACUUACUAGUUUAUUUUUAUUGCUUCUUCACGUGUUUGCUAUGAAUAUGUAGAUCACAGACCCUGGUUUAUAUCUUCAGUAAGUACACGAAGUAAUUUUGGAACUACAGGUUGAAACCAUCAAAGUGUCAGCAUCUAUAUUGCUCUAAUCAAACACUUAGGUUAAAGUACUUUUCACUGUGAAGUUGAAUAUAGACAUAGUUACACGUAGACAAAUAUAUGAUGGAAGUCGGUAACACCAAACCAGAUGCACACACAGGCAAACUUUGUCUAUCUUUCUUAGUGUACAAGCUUAACUGAAGAUAAUGCUCACUUUUAUAUGAUUUCCUGUCAGCUCUUGGUCAUCCGAGGUAACUUGGUUUGGAACACCGGUGCUGACUGCAACACUCAAACUCUGCCCUGCUUGGCAUGGCACAUGAUUGGGUCACUUUUUACUUCCAAUUCACAAUCAGUGAGUGUGAAAUCAGUGGUUUAUCAAUGUGGGUGACCUCUUAAUGCACUGAUGAAAGCAGCUUGUGUUGUAUGACUACCUGAGUUGGAAGGCUUACAGCUAAUAUUCAUACUUACACAAAUUCUCUUUUUUUCUGGCAACCCUUUAUGAUUUGGUCAUUAAAACUGUGACAAGCAGUGCAGCCAAAGGUGAGGACACUUGUUAAGGGUUCCAAGCUACCACAUGCCCACAGGUGGGACCAGUGGCAUAACUGCUACUUUCAUUUCACCCCCUCCUUCACACUUACAAACACCUACCCACCUUUCUGUAAACCCAUUUCUGUCUUAAGCAUUUUCACAGAGUGACCUGGGAAAUUUUUUCCUUUGGUGUCCUAGGCCCUACAAUGAAUAAAAUUGUAAAUUUUCUACUCAGUUUGUAUAAAAGUGAAAGCCAUGAACAAAAGGUUGAUUUAGAUAAGUUUAUUAGACAUGAACAGUGAUAGAAUUUUCUCACUUAACCAGAGUCCAAACAAGGGCACAACCUUAAUUUAACAGAUACUGAACCGACAAGCUUCACACUGCAUUUGUCUACGCAAAAUAUUGCAGUAGACCUUUUAUGAAUUUCUUACUAAACCUCUCAAAGUAAUCCUCUACAUUCCUUACAUAAAAUUGUGGCAUAUUUCCAUGUGCGUUAGUGUUCUGCCCUAGUAAUCUCAAGUGUAGUGGUAUGUUAAAUUAACCUUCACUCUGUUAGUGCACUCAUAUCAAGUAAUUUAAAUUUCUACAGUAGAAUCAUCAAUCUGCCUAGUUCUUAACUAUGCCAUCACUAGUGUGCUCCAAUGCAGUUUUAUUUGCCAUACAAUUAUGUGCAAUGUAUUUUUCUUAUUAACACUUGGAAAGUUGCAGUGGAACCAGUGAUCUCCAUACUAACUGGAUGUACAUCUUCUGUCUUUGACCAUAGCACUUAUCCGUGCUGUCCCAGGAGUGUUUGUUUAUAUCAUCCGCCAUCUUUUAGUUAGGCAAAAAGUUUCUCUUGGUGUUAACGAAGUGUAUGUUGUGAGUGUAAAACGGUUAUUUCGUGCUCCGCAUACAACUGUACGAACCGGUGGAGCAAGGAAAGCAAUUUAACUUUCCACAGGUUUCCUCUGCAAAAGGUUUCACGCCUACAAGGGCUAGUUUCUUGUGUGGAGAUCACUUCUUGGAAGAAGAUUAUUUAGUAAGGCCUGGUACUUCGAGAAGGCAUCUCAAGCCUGAUGCAGUGCCAUCACAGUUUGCGUUUCCGACGCAUUUAAUGCCCAAGGAAAAGCAACCAAGGUGACAGAUUAGAAUAACAACUGAACAGCCUACUGCAGAAACUCAUGAUUAUAUUGAACAGUUUUCUCAGAGUUGUGAAACAUCUAAGGAACGUGGAUCCCAAACACAAAUAGAAAUGAUUGACAAGGCCACUGACACAUGCAGUUUUUUACCAGAUGUUGUGGAGACACUGAGAAGAAAGAGCCUGCAGGGAAAAAUUAGAAGAGAGAAGAAAACUAUUCAAUGAAAGGCAUCGUAAGUGCUCUGAAAAAGAAGGGUCAUCUAACAGACAAGCUGCAUGAAUUCCUGAAUCAACUAACAGGGACUCAGGUGGAAUUAGUGUGCAAUUUGUUGAAUAAUAGUGUGUCAUCCAAGGGAAACCGGUACAAAACAGACAUUAAAAUGUUUUCAAUGACAGUGUAUUUUUACUCUAAGGCAUAUGAAUAUUUACAGACAUUAAUGCCUCUGCCUCACAAAUCACUGAUUUCUCGUUGGGCAGGGACUGUGAAUUGUGAUCCUGGCUUUUUUUAGGUGAUGUGUUCAGGUACUUUUAGUUUAACCAUCAAGUGAGGACUGAAUUUAAAGAUUCUAGCCUCAUAAGAGACAGUAUGGCAAUUAGAAAACAGGUAGUGUGGGACCAGGAAACUAAGAGGUAUACAGGUUUUGUAGAUUUUGGAGAAGUUGAACAAUCAAAAGAAGUGAAAGAAGCUUCAGAGGCAUUACUUUUUAUGCUUGUGUCCAUAAAAGGUAAAUUUAAGUGCCCUGUAGCGUAUUUUUUAGUGAAUGGCUUUAAUGGUAGUACGCAGGUAAAGUUAAUAAACUCUGCUAUGGAGAGGCUAAGCAAUUCAGGCAUCAGGAUUUGGGCAGUCACUUGUAAUGGCACAAGGACAAAUAUAAGUACUCUUCGUUCAUUGGGAUGCAGUAUUAAUUUUCAUCAAAAAGUUUUCUUCUCAGUUCCUUCGCCCAGUUUCAAACCACAAUGUUUACUGCAUUUUGGAUAUGUGUCAUUUAGUGAAACUUGUCUUGAAAUGCAUUAGCAGAAGUAGGUGUUAUUGAGUCUACAAAUGGCCAUGUUAAGUGGCAGUACUUAAAAGAACUAAAUGAGUUGCAAAUUGAGGAAGACAUGACAUUUGGUAACAGGUUGUCAGGGCAACAUAUUAAUUAUGUUAAUAAAAAGAUGAAUGUCAGCUUAGCAGUUCAGACACUCAGUUUGAGUGUUGCAGAUACUAUAGAUUUUUUUAGAAGAGCUGGCAAUCCCAGAUUCCAUGGUAGUGAGGCAACAGUGGAAUUUUUGAUGUCUAACUCCAGCAAUCCUCUAGCUUCAGAAUAUAAAGCCAGCCUGAAACUUAGUAAUCAGACAUACUGGCUUGAUAUUUUUCUUCAGACAGAAUCUUAUAUAAGAAGUUUAAAAGUAAAUGGUGUUUCUCUCGUGCAGCACCCAAGAAAUGCUUUUGCCUUUGGCAUAAUUUUGAACAUGCAUUUGAUUAAAGCCAUUGCACUGGAAAUAAUGACUAGGGAAAAUUCUCCUCUGCAAUAUUUAUUGACAUAGUUUUCCCAAGAUCAUAUUGAACUCUUCUUCUCAUGUGUGAGAUCUAGAGGGGGUUGGAAUAACAACCCAAAUUCAUACCAGUUGAAGUGUGCUAUGUGCAAGUUGCUUUUAGGCACUAAUGUUAGCAUGUGUUCAAUGGUACCUGUAGGACUGUAUGAUUUCCGAUCACAAAAGUGUCCUCUUGUAGAUGAAGUAGAAAAAUGGUGCUCACUUACUGAAGAAGGUACUCUGUUUUCCGCAUACAAGCAGAACAUUUUGUACUACAUUGCAGGGUAUGUUGCCCUCACAAUUUUUAAACAAGUUACAUGUAAGGACUGCCUCGACAUUCUUAGGCCACGCAACAUAUGCACUUAGUACUGCAGAAGACAGCUCAUUCACAAAAUUUAUAAGCCGAGGCAAGCUUAUUGAAACAAAUAAUGCUGUAUACUCUGUGGUGGAGCACUCAGAAAAAGUGUGGUGACAUGAGGCAAAAGCACUUAAUUAGUAAGAUUGUCAUGUGUUUGAAGUAUUCAUACCCUAAACUUAACCAUGACUUCUAUAAUGAAUGCAGAAUUUAAGAUUUGCAUGAGAGACAGCUUGUACGUAAGAUUGCAUCCAGGUACAUUCAGGUGUGGUUGAAACAUAUGGGAAAAGGUUUUCAGUUGAGAAAAUAGGUCACUAUAUAACUAGUGUAAGACAAAAACUCAGUAAGAUUAUUUUAUUCAGUAAUGUGUAGUGUUGUGCCUGUAACAUUGCAGCAGUGGUUAAAAAUGUAUGGA